RNAcentral lists this long non-coding RNA (257 nucleotides) under Medicago truncatula (barrel medic). RNAcentral describes it as "long non-coding RNA (MTRU_LNC001401)". The record is from RNAcentral. Lineage: Eukaryota; Viridiplantae; Streptophyta; Magnoliopsida; Fabales; Fabaceae.
AUAAAUAUCAUAACAUCUUGAAGCUCAAGGUGCUCGACUGCGACAUCUUGAAGCUAGUUGAUAUUGUGGACCCAUCAAUGAACUAGCUGUCGCAUAUCGAGCAGCAGUACCACGGAUCACUUUGGCCUCUUGAAGAAGGUCACAGUUCUUGCAGAGAUCUUUAACUGAGUGAUUACCAAUGAAAUUAAGAGAUAAAGCAAUCUUGCGGAGUUUGGGAAGCACCAAUAAUUGAUCAUCAUUGUCUAGCACAUAAUUUU